This 400-nucleotide ribosomal RNA is filed under the name phytoplankton environmental sample. RNAcentral describes it as "partial small subunit ribosomal RNA". It matches the Rfam family "Eukaryotic small subunit ribosomal RNA", at positions 587 to 977 of the family's 1831-position model. The record is from RNAcentral.
AGCUCCAAUAGCGUAUAUUAAAGUUGUUGCAGUUAAAAAGCUCGUAGUUGGAUUUCUGAUUUCAAUAUCCGGUCCUUUUGUCUUUGACGAAUGUGUACUAAGGAUAUUUGGGUCAUGUUUUGUGAGGUUGCUUUUCUGUCAUUAAGUUGAUGGUUUAGUAAGCUUGCAUCGUUUACUGUGAAAAAAUUAGAGUGUUUAAAGCAGGCAUUUUGCUCCUUGAAUACAUUAGCAUGGAAUAAUAAGAUACGACUUUGGUGGUCUAUUUUGUUGGUUUGCACACCAGAGUAAUGAUUAAUAGGGACAGUUGGGGGUAUUCAUAUUUCAGUGUCAGAGGUGAAAUUCUUGGAUCACUGAAGGAUGAGCUUAGGCGAAAGCAUUUACCAUGGAUGUUUUCAUUAAU